Long non-coding RNA from Gymnodraco acuticeps, 2155 nucleotides. RefSeq lists it as uncharacterized. The transcript is spliced from 5 exons. Lineage: Eukaryota; Metazoa; Chordata; Actinopteri; Perciformes; Bathydraconidae. The record is from RefSeq and is a predicted model, not a curated record.
GGAAUCGUACCGUUUGUAACGGCAGGGUAUCGCGGUACCUUUCAAGUAUCGGUACACCGUGCAACACUAGUUUGAUUUGAGCUCUUGUUAGCUAGCCUACAUUUAAUAUCUCCCUCACUUGAGAAAUGAUUUAACUUACGUGUAAGACAGUAUUUUUAUAUUGUUUUAAGUUAUAUCUCAAAGUGGAACGUUUGUGAUGCAAAAGUUUUCUGGAAAAGUCGAACCUAAAAUGGCGUUAGGAGGCGCGUUUUCUUUCUUCUUUUUUUACCGCAUUUCUGGGCAUGUUUUAUUAAUUUAGAGGCAUAGAGGAUUAAUUUGAUCCACUACAAUGUACCAUAACCGUGCGUUCUGCAUGUUUGUAAAAGCAAGCUAACUUGAAACACUAGACUAUUAAUUUUACAAGGUAAUUUAUACCCCCCAGCGUUUUCAAAUACAUGUAACUCAGCAAAGGUAAUGAUCGUGCAGUGAUGAUACUAAUACUUAUAGAAUCUGUGGAAUCUCAGCUUUAAUCUGAUAUCUUGUAUGCGCAGUUACGAUAAGUAGCCUAUAAUAAAGUAUUUCUACCGUGAGUUCUGUGCGCUAAUUUAGACUAAUUUAAUAGUGAGACUUGUGUUUUGUUUCGGUAAAAAUGGUUCGUAUCUUCAGUUAGCUGAGUUUCGUUAACUGGGUAUGACACAUUAAUAGGUUUUUAAAUGUUAAGAAGCCCCUGAGACAACGUUUCGUGAACAAGAAGCCCUCGGUACCGGGGGCUGCCGGAUUUAACAGAUUAAUAGUCUAGUGUUUCAAGUUAGCUUGCUUUUAAAAACAUGCAGAACGCACGGUUAUGGUACAACGUUAGUGGAUUAAAAUGAACGUAAAUCCUCGUUGUAUUAAUUUAUAUGCCUCUAAGUUAAUAAAACAUGCACAGACAUGCAUGCUGUAACAAAAAAGAAGAAAAGCGCGCCGCCUACCGCCAUUUUAGGUUCGAAAAUAGUGUUUCUCAUUUUGUGAAAACUUUGCAACCCAGCUAACCUUUAAUGUUUUUUCUCUUAAGGAAACUGACGCAACUGGCAGAUAUAUGGCUUCUUCAAUCUGUUAAUGCAGACUACCUUUGCCCUGCGGCGCAAUGAGAUCAUCAAUGAUGAGCUACCUGUUGGAGAGAUCCUGGAACGCUGGCCUGCCUUGAAAAUGGAGUCACAGAGUUUCACAGGAUAACGAACCUCAACCUGAAGAACCACUUCUAUGCGGAGUUGGAUAGACAUGUCCUCCAUCUUCAGAGCCUGUUCAGGAAGAAGGCGGCAAGCAAGGAAAGGAAACUGAACUUCUGGAUCAGCUAUUCGCCUCCUAUGACCUCCAGGAGCAAGGUGACGUCCAUGUCCUCCGUGCUCUGCCUGAAUAUCUGCAUGAAGAUGACUCCACGUUUCUGAGGCUGUGGCAUGUGGAGCAGUCUGAUGAUCCAGACACAGAGGGCAUCGCGGUCGGACUUCUCAUGAUCAGUGCCAGGUCAACAGACACCACGCUCUUCUGCCCAGAGAGGAUCGCUGUUGUCAUUGAGGGUAACAGAGUUAUGGAACUCCCCACACUGGCUGACGCAUUCAUCCUGCUUUUUGCACUGACCUUUGCCCUGCAUCUGAGCUACACAAAAGACUUGGCCAACACUUUCGACUUCACCCAGAAAGUGUUGAUGAGGGGAACUUGAAGCCCAGGGUGUUGAGCCUGAAAAAGCUUUUGGCAGUUUAAUCCAACCAACAAAGUUGCACUUUAACAAUCACACACACACACACACACACUGUUCUCCUCUGUUUACAUCCUGCUGCUUUACAUCUGUGUUCUGUUGUGUUCAUUGACAGAUUUGUUACUGUUCAGCUUCAAGUUGAAGGACUGUUCGUAGAUGUUUUAUACUUUUAUAUGUAUUGGGUCUUUAUGGUCCAUGUGUUAAAUUAAUACGCAGAACUGUUCCUGAAAAUUGUGUUCACUCAUAAGUGAUGGUUAAAAUACACACAGAUAUUUCUCAAGGCCCUAGCACUGUUUUUAAGGUGUUUUUAUUUAUUUAAGAGUUAAAUAUAUUGAAUUUGUAUUGUGCUAAAAUGCAUUGUUCUUUUAUAGUGGAAAUGGAAUGUUGGCGAUUUGCCAAAGCUGUUCAAAUUAUCAAUAAAUGCAUUUUUAUAUAUAUAUA